Gadus morhua (Atlantic cod) is the source of this 2801-nucleotide long non-coding RNA. NCBI's taxonomy places the organism in Eukaryota, Metazoa, Chordata, Actinopteri, Gadiformes, Gadidae. The record is from Ensembl.
CUUCAUCUCCCGACUCCUCAGCCGAACACCCCGUCGACCCGCUCACCAUGUCAUCGGGGAUAAAAAUGACAACCAUAAAGUUUUCGAAGCAGACUGAUCUUGGAGUCUUGGCCUCCAAGAUCAAAAACAAGAUGCUCAAUAGUUCAUCUUUUUUUAAGAUCUCUUUGAAGACGAACAACAGGGCAUUAGCUGGUGCUCUGCAGGCCCAGAGAGAGAAGAGCAACAACCUGCAGAUGGAAAUUAUUGGCCUCCUGAAACAAGUGGAUGCUCUGUUAUUUGAAAGGGCUUCCAUGAGAUACAAGCAUAAGCAGUUGGUUCUUAUGGUAAAGGAACUCCGUAGCACCACCAUGCAUCAGUUAUGCAGUAUGGCUGACAUCCUAUCCUCAGAAGACGAUGACUGUAACAACCAACAAGACGAUGCAGAUGGUGGUGAUGUUGAGAAUAAAAGUCUAUUACCCUGCCAACCGCAACCCUUAACUGAGGCACAUCACUCACCAAUCAAAACACUGGUAGAUUUGACUAAUACUAUCGGUGGUGUACAAGGCCAGCCAUCAAACGAUAUGAAAAUCGAUAAAGAGGGGGAAAAUACUUCUGAUGAAGCUGUGCAGUUGGCCCGAUGGAGAACAACCAGUCAAACCAGUAGCUUGAGGGAGGAUGUGGAACAGUAUUCCAGGACUCAGCCCGGACGGGACAGUCACUCUAUGCUGCCUUCAUGCCCUCAAAACAGUCACACCCCUGCAGCUGUUGUUGCAUCUGAAAACAAACGAUUGAGCGUUUCUGUCGAUCUUCAGAAAAGCUCAGCCCAGGAGUUGACCACCGCCUCCAACAACAACAACACCACCACCACCUCCAACAACGAUAACGACCACAGAGGUGGACAGGAGGUGACUUUGCUCCUGAACACCACCAUGGAGAUGACCGUGAGGGAUGCCACUGAAAUAAUCAUCGUCGACACCAAGAAGAAAUCCCGAAACACAAACGAGCCUAAGAUUAAAGACCAAGCCGCACCAGUGGUAAAGGCAAAGAAGGAAAAGAAAAGAAACAAGAAACCAGGGAGGCCAGAAGACAGAGACUCUACAGAGUGCGGGUUAGUAGAAACCCAACAUGUGCACACUGCUGCUCUGCCACUAUCAGAGGAUCGUACAGAAGAGGCCUCUGGUACACAUAAGGUUGUGUCUCGCAUCCCCAGAUUUGGCAAGGCUAAAGCUUGUGACGGACCGAACACGAUACAGAAGAAACCUCAGAGUUACCCGAGUAUUGCCUUACCUGAGUAUAGCGGCUGUGACGUCGUAGAGCCUGACAGACACGUCCCCACAGUCAGGGAAGAUGCAAGAUGGUCACCCAAUCAUGUUUUUUCAGAGGACGGAAACGCUAAAAAGAAAUUAAGAAGGACUAAUGUCGCUUCAAAUCCACCAAGAGUAAUCAAAAGGAAAACCCCUAUCCCAUUAAUGAACCUCUCUAAUGCUGAAACACAAAGAACAUCUAAUGGCAAAACUACAGAGGAAGUAGACACCGCCUAUAGUGAUGCAUUCAGCGGCCAACUGCUGGAGAGUCAACAACUUCCUGUGGCCUCUAAUGACAACACACCUUUUGAGCUUGGGGGCGGGGACUUGGGUUUUCCAGAGGCUGGUUACCCUGAGAGCAAGGAUCUUAACUUUAACAGAGAACUCAGGAAGACUUUUGUGGUGACGAGGGAUGGGUCCCCGUGGGAAAACUUCUCACCAGAUAUCAGUACUGGAGCCAGCAUCCUGACGCCAUCUUCAGCAUCUCCGCGUGGGUCAGAAGGACAACAAGAUGCCUCAGUUGCAAGUUCACCGAGGCAGGUUUCGGAAGCCACUCUGCACAGGUUCUCCGGUCCUAAUUACUGUGACAAGGUAGAUGUUUCGGAUCAGACCCAUUUGCCACGCAAGCGUCCCUACGAGGAAGUUCAGGGGCACGAGGCCACCUGUUCCAAUGGGAUAAGAGCAGCAUGGAGUGAGCAAUCAGCAUGUCCUUUCAACGUCAGAAAGAAGAAAGUAGAGAAGAGUAGGCACCAACAGAGCUACAGCCCUCAAGGGUACGGGCCUCAAGAUCAGGAACUGCCACCUCACCAGGACGACACGCAAACAGGAAAGGUUGUUCUGGACGGUACACACAAAAAGUCAAUUUUGUCUCUCAGAACCAGCAGAGUAGCUGCUGGUACGUACAACGAGGAGUCGCCUCAACACAUCGCUGAGACGGUCGAUGUCUCUCCGGAUACUUGGGUUCCUAAAAGGCUCCCACCACCGUCCCGUUCCAAAAAGAGCAACAGUAAGAAGAUCUUUUCCACUUCCUCCGGCACAACAAGGAAAAACUUUGUGGCCUUCGACAACAAAAGGAUGUCAGAUGUCCUCGCGAGCGACGGGGGGAUGGACCAGUGUCUUACGAGCCUGCUGCUGGAUGAGAGGCCGCCAUGGGAGACCCCAGAUGUCAGCCUCAGGGCUCUGGAUAUGGAGGACCACUAUGUCCCUACUCCCAAGAAAGCCGUCUUGGCCACGGUGACGGGGUUGAAGGAGCCGCCGCCAAAUACAGUCAACACUUUCACAGACAGUGGAGAAGUCGGUGGCCGAACCAGAAGAACAAAGGCAUCUGUGAACUACAAGGAGCCCAGCAUAACAUGCAAAUUGAGGCGCGGAGACCGUCACACGGACACCGGUCUCCUGAUUGCUCCUAUUUAUAAGGAAAAAAAGAAGAAGAAACGGACCAAGAUGGCGAACAAGCAAAGACCAGAAAGCAGUCUUAGUUUAGGUUUUUUAGUAGAUGAAAGUGAAAACCCUGUUUGA